RNAcentral lists this ribosomal RNA (253 nucleotides) under uncultured bacterium. RNAcentral describes it as "partial 16S ribosomal RNA". It matches the Rfam family "Bacterial small subunit ribosomal RNA", at positions 524 to 776 of the family's 1533-position model. The record is from RNAcentral.
UACGUAGGGUGCAAGCGUUAAUCGGAAUUACUGGGCGUAAAGCGUGCGCAGGCGGCUUUGCAAGACAGAUGUGAAAUCCCCGGGCUUAACCUGGGAACUGCAUUUGUGACUGCAUGGCUGGAGUGCGGCAGAGGGGGAUGGAAUUCCGCGUGUAGCAGUGAAAUGCGUAGAUAUGCGGAGGGACACCGAUGGCGAAGGCAAUCCCCUGGGCCUGCACUGACGCUCAUGCACGAAAGCGUGGGGAGCAAACAGG